AACGGCCGUACCAUGCUGAAUAUACCGGUUCUCGUUAGAUCACCGAAGUCAAGCAUCACUGGGCGCGGUCAGUACUUGGGUGGGUGACCACCUGGGAACACCGCGUGCCGU
Molecule: ribosomal RNA, 111 nt
Filed under: Caerostris darwini
Lineage: Eukaryota; Metazoa; Arthropoda; Arachnida; Araneae; Araneidae
Source: RNAcentral